GAUGAACGCUGGCGGCGUGCCUAAUACAUGCAAGUAGAACGCUGAAGGAGGAGCUUGCUCUUAUGGAUGAGUUGCGAACGGGUGAGUAACGCGUAGGUAACCUGCCUGGUAGCGGGGGAUAACUAUUGGAAACGAUAGCUAAUACCGCAUGACACCAGUUAUUGCAUGAUAACUGUUUAAAAGGGGCAACUGCUCCACUACCAGAUGGACUUGCGUUGUAUUAGCUAGUUGGUGAGGUAACGGCUCACCAAGGCGACGAUACAUAGCCGACCUGGGAGGGGGAUCGGCCACACGGGGGCGGGGACGCGGCCCAGGCUCCUACGGGAGGCAGCAGUAGGGAAUCGUCGGCAAUGGACGGAAGUCUGACCGAGCAACGCCGCGUGAGUGAAGAAGGUUUUCGGAUCGUAAAGCUCUGUUGUAAGAGAAGAACGGGUGUGAGAGUGGAAAGUUCACACUGUGACGGUAUCUGACCAGAAAGGGACGGCUAACUACGUG
RNAcentral lists this ribosomal RNA (495 nucleotides) under uncultured bacterium. RNAcentral describes it as "partial 16S ribosomal RNA". It matches the Rfam family "Bacterial small subunit ribosomal RNA", at positions 28 to 507 of the family's 1533-position model. The record is from RNAcentral.